RNAcentral lists this long non-coding RNA (270 nucleotides) under Manihot esculenta (cassava). RNAcentral's name for it is "long non-coding RNA (MESC_LNC011875)". Lineage: Eukaryota; Viridiplantae; Streptophyta; Magnoliopsida; Malpighiales; Euphorbiaceae. The record is from RNAcentral.
UUCCAACAUGCAUAUAACUCAUUCAAAUCAUGCAAAUAUACAUACAUUGGCUCCUAGGGGCCUCAAACUAACUUAAACCCCAACUACAACACACAAUAACAACACAUUGCUCAAAAACACAACAUAAACUCAAAAACCUAACUAUGAGCUAAACAUGCAUUCUACCCCAUAGAUCUUGCAUAAAACUUACUUUAAACAUGAAAUGAGCUUAAGAUCGGCUCCUACCUCUUGAAGAUCGAGAGAGAGACGUCCUAAACUCGGAGGUGGGAG